RNAcentral lists this ribosomal RNA (510 nucleotides) under Triticum aestivum (bread wheat). Its description in RNAcentral is "partial small subunit ribosomal RNA". The record is from RNAcentral. Lineage: Eukaryota; Viridiplantae; Streptophyta; Magnoliopsida; Poales; Poaceae.
AAAUAAAUGGAAUUUAACUCUUUCAUGCUUACUUUAACUAGUUAUUUUGGUUUUCUACUGGCUGCUUUAACUAUAACCCCAGCUCUAUUUAUUGGCUUGAACAAGAUACGCCUUAUUUGAAUUGACUGAAUAAUUAUAAUUCAGAAAAGAAAAAUCUUUCUUUGGGAUUCCUGGCAUUCUACGACUCUUUUCCAGACUAAUUAGGAAUUCUUUUCUUGGUCAUUGAGAUUCGUGGAUAAUUUAGAGUACUAUUUAGGGAUAGAUCGUACCUCUUUUUUUAUCCCCUCGAACAAAUCGAAAUGAUUGAAGUUUUUCUAUUUGGAAUCGUCUUAGGCCUAAUUCCUAUUACUUUAGCGGGAUUAUUCGUGACUGCGUAUUUGCAAUACAGGCGUGGGGAUCAGUUGGAUCUUUGAUUGAGUCAUUUUUUUUGAUUGACCUCCUCCAGACCAGAGAGGAGGUCAAAUUGAAAUUGGAGUUACAAUUCAAUUUUGUUAAGUUAUUUUACUCUGC